CGCCCAGCGCCCUCUGGUCCGCCGGCCUCGAUCCCUGCCGCAGUGUGGCUGCUCUGCUCGGUAUGCAGUUGUGGCUCCGGCGACCUCGCGUUUGAUUCCAACCGGAGUUGCGGGCAGACCACAUGUCGUCAGGCACAUAGGCCAUAGAUGGCCACCAGCGACCAAACCAAUCAACUAGGUGCCAAUACGGGAACUAGCGACCGAGCCAAUAAUCAACCAGGUCACUAACGUUUGGCACAUUCAUUUGUAUCAAGUGUUCUGUGGCUCAUAGAAGCCUCGGGGUGCAUAUUUCCAAGGAGGACUAAGAUGUGUUAAGAAUCCGACACUUUACUCAGCAUCGAUUAUGUCCAUUAGUGUUGGUGAUCGCAGGCGUGUUAUUGUUGUUGCUA
Molecule: non-coding RNA, 389 nt
Organism: Lolium perenne
Lineage: Eukaryota; Viridiplantae; Streptophyta; Magnoliopsida; Poales; Poaceae
Source: RefSeq, a predicted model, not a curated record